Molecule: RNA transcript, 1778 nt
Organism: Papaver somniferum (opium poppy)
Lineage: Eukaryota; Viridiplantae; Streptophyta; Magnoliopsida; Ranunculales; Papaveraceae
Exons: 4
Source: RefSeq, a predicted model, not a curated record
GUUCUUCUUCUUCCCCUCCGUUAAAAAUCAAAAAGCAUCGUUUUCUUCCAUUUUUUUGUUUGGGUUUGUAGAACAAAGGGUGAAUUCGAAGUUGGAAUUGAUUUGAAGGCGUUUUAACCACUCAAUCCUUAAAGAUAAUGAUAUGGAGUACCUGACGGACCAAAAGUUGUCCGUAAAAGGUAUAGAUGGUUAUACAUCCGGUAUAGAUGCACCGAGGAUGAAAAUGAGGACCAGUUGGGGAAGCCUUAAGGAUUAUUAUGAUAUCGUUGUAUGGAAUAGUCCACGCGCACGUCAGUAGGAAACUCAUGGACAACUCUGAGGUAUGGGAGGAAUUGACUAGGAUUUAUCUUCUUUGGGUUAUUGGUCAAGGAUUCACCGGAACGACUUCCACUAACGCUUCAAAAGCAUGGUUGGUUGUUUUGGGAGAUUCAGAAAGCUUGCAAAAUCUUGGUAGGUUUGAUUGGGGUUCAUUUAUUUAUGGUAGGUUGUUAAACAACUUGGACAAGGUUUCUAGUGGUGUUGAUAAUAACAUGGCAGUAAUGUGAAUGAUAUUAGAGUAUUGGUACUAUAUUUACUUUCGUAAUUGUCAACCAUUACUAAAAUUUGGAUCAUUCGACCCUGAACAAAUGUACCCUGCGAUUAAUAUGUUUCAAUAAACCCAUACAGAGGGUGUGAAACAAUCAGACUCCGGGAAACAUUCUAUGAGCAAUGCUAAAAGACAGAUGGAUCUGAGACUGUCACCUGGAGCAGUUGUUUGGCGACCAUGGGUAUUGAAUGCCCACUAUAGAGAUGAGGAAGUAGUUUUAGCAAGAGAGGUUAGUCGUAAGAGAAUAUAUUUCAGGGGAGUAGUGGAUAUGAAAGAUGAGGUCCUUUAUCUUGGGGAGAGAUGUUUGAGGCAGGUGUUAGGUAUAAUUUCAAUUCCUUGUACGCCUCUUGAUUUUUCAGUCACUAGAAGUGAGGAUAUAAGAUAAGGGUUUCAUUACUUUCUAGCAGAUGAUACUGAACAUGUAGGUUGGUGAAAAACUGUCAGCAUGGGUCCUUUGUUGCCAGAUUUGAGUCGUGUUCAAAGCCACGAAGAGGUUGGUAUUGGUAACAUUGGAAGCUCUCGUUUCGUUCCUAAUGUACUUGCUCCAAGUCAGUUUGCAGAAACAUUUGUAUAUACCCAACCGGAGACAUCAUCUACUUUUCCUACAGUAGAGUGGUCAUUUCCGUAUGUGAACUCGGGGGGAAUACGUGAAAUACAUCAUCUUCCGAAUAUCACCCAUCGUCUUGAUUGGAGUAACAUCCAUGACACUUAGGAUCACUGGAAAGGAUUGGCACAACAAAGUUUUGAAAAGACUGAUGCACUGGAGAAACUAUUGUAUGACCGUUUUACGUAUGGGUUUUCCAAUACUGGCGUUACAUCUUCUAGUGCUUUUAUCACUAACCAAUCCCAGGAAGAAGCUUCUCUGGAUGGGACAUUUCGUAUGUUGAGCUUAGGUGGUUCUGGUGAGUGUAUCCGUAGGCGCCAAGCUACUUCUACUUUGGAUGAUCACGGAACAGGGUAUCACCCAGUUGUCAUGGACACCGGUAUUAGUCCUACCUACUCAAUCCCAAGAUUGAGUCAAGAAGAAAAUCCUUACUUGAACAGUAAUGUGAAUUUAAAUACAGAUAUGGAGUUUGUUGUUGAAACCCAGGUUGAGAGUGAAAAGGCGAUGUGGAUUUAAAUACAGAUAUUGAGUUUGUUGUAAUCCCAAAUAUACCUCAAGCUAAAACUUUUCCUACCUAUAAGUCCUUUC